This 66-nucleotide transfer RNA is filed under the name Megacampsomeris sp. 1 YJY-2023a. RNAcentral's name for it is "tRNA-Ser". Lineage: Eukaryota; Metazoa; Arthropoda; Insecta; Hymenoptera; Scoliidae. The record is from RNAcentral.
AGUUAAUGAGCUUGAAUAAGCAUAUAUUUUGAAAAUAUAAGAUAAAUUAUAAUUAUUUAUUAACUU